This 1483-nucleotide ribosomal RNA is filed under the name uncultured Bordetella sp. Its description in RNAcentral is "partial 16S-23S ribosomal RNA intergenic spacer". It matches the Rfam family "Bacterial small subunit ribosomal RNA". The record is from RNAcentral. Lineage: Bacteria; Pseudomonadati; Pseudomonadota; Betaproteobacteria; Burkholderiales; Alcaligenaceae.
CAGGUAGUAACAGAGGUUCGAUUAUGGCUCAGAUUGAACGCUGGCGGGAUGCUUUACACAUGCAAGUCGAACGGCAGCACGGACUUCGGUCUGGUGGCGAGUGGCGAACGGGUGAGUAAUGUAUCGGAACGUGCUAGUAGCGGGGAUAACUACGCGAAAGCGUAGCUAAUACCACAUACGCCCUUCGAAGGAAAGCGGGGGACCUUCGGGCCUCACACCCACUAUUAGAGCAGCCGUCAUCGGAUUAGCUAGUUGGUGGGGUAACGGCUCUGGAGCGACGAUCCGUAAGCUGGUUUGAGGAAGGACGACCAGCCACACUGGGACUGGAACACGGCCCAGACUCCUACGGGAGGCAGCAGUGGGGGCCUGGACAAUGGAAACCCUGAUCCAGCCCAUCCGCGUGUGCGAUGAAGGCCUUCAGUUGUAAAGCACUUUAGCGGGAAAGAAACGGCACGGGAUAAUACCCCGUGCAACUGACGGUACCUGCAGAAUAAGCACCGGCUAACUACGUGCCAGCAGCCGCGGUAAUACGUAGGGUGCGAAGCGUUAAUCGGAAUUACUGGGCGUAAAGCGUGCGCAGGCGGUUCGGAAGAAAAGAUGUGAAAUCCCAGAGCUUAACUUUGGAACUGCAUUUUUAACUACCGAGCUAGAGUGUGUCAGAGGGAGGUGGAAUUCCGCGUGUAGCAGUGAAAUGCGUAGAUAUGCGGAGGGCUACCGAUGGCGAAAAACAACCUCCUGGGAUAACACUGACGCUCAUGCACGAAAGCGUGGGAGCAAACGGAUUAGAUACCCUGGUAGUCCACGCCCUAAACGAUGUCAACUAGCUGUUGGGGCCUUCGGGCCUUGGUAGCGCAGCUAACGCGUGAAGUUGACCGCCUGGGGAGUACGGUCAUAAGAUUCGCUCAAAGGAAUUGACGGGGACCCGCACAAGCGGUGGAUGAUGUGGAUUAAUUCGAUGCAACGCGAAAAACCUUACCUACAUGGUAUAGUCUGGAAUCCGAGAUUUGGGAGUGCUCGCAAGAGAACCAGACACGAUUGCUGCAUGGCUGUCGUCAGCUCGUGUCGUGAGAUGUUGGGUUAGUCCGCAACGAGCGCAACCCUUGUCAUUAGUUGCUACGAAAGGGCACUCUAAUGAGACUGCCAGGUGACAAAUGGAGGAAGGUCGAGAUGACGUCAAGUCCUCAUGGCCCUUAUGGGGCAGGGCUUCACGUCGCUGCAAUGGUCGGGACAGAGGGUCGCCAGCCCGCGAGGAGGGAGCCAAUCCCGAGACAGUCGUAGUCCGGAUCGCAGUCUGCAACUCGACUGCGUGAAGUCGGAAUCGCUAGUAAUCGCGGAUCAGCAUGUCGCGGUGAAUACGUUCCCGGGUCUUGUACACACCGCCCGUCACACCAUGGGAGUGGGUUUUACCAGAAGUGAUUAGCUAACCGUAAGAGGCGUUCUACGAUAAGGAUUCAUGACCUGGGGUGAAGUCGUAACAAGGUAA